CGAGAUGUGUAGGUUGCUGCAUGGUUGUCGUCAGCUCGUGCCGUGAGGUGUCGGCUUAAGUGCCAUAACGAGCGCAACCCUCAUCAUUAGUUACCAUCAGGUAAGGCUGGGGACUCUAAUGAGACUGCCAUCGUAAGAUGUGAGGAAGGUGGGGAUGACGUCAAAUCAGCACGGCCCUUACGUCCGGGGCGACACACGUGUUACAAUGGGUGGUACAAAGGGCAGCUACCUGGCGACAGGAUGCUAAUCUCCAAAACCACUCUCAGUUCGGAUCGGAGUCUGCAACUCGACUCCGUGAAGCUGGAUUCGCUAGUAAUCGCGCAUCAGCCACGGCGCGGUGAAUACGUUCCCGGGCCUU
This 358-nucleotide ribosomal RNA is filed under the name uncultured Proteiniphilum sp. Its description in RNAcentral is "bacterial SSU rRNA". It matches the Rfam family "Bacterial small subunit ribosomal RNA", at positions 1026 to 1382 of the family's 1533-position model. The record is from RNAcentral. Lineage: Bacteria; Pseudomonadati; Bacteroidota; Bacteroidia; Bacteroidales; Dysgonomonadaceae.